UCACCCUGGCUAACGCUAGC
Molecule: unclassified non-coding RNA, 20 nt
Filed under: Chlamydomonas reinhardtii
Lineage: Eukaryota; Viridiplantae; Chlorophyta; Chlorophyceae; Chlamydomonadales; Chlamydomonadaceae
Description: small RNA Cre_2472
Source: RNAcentral